UGUGGUGCACUUGCUCGUCUUACUGUGUGUAGUCUGGAAUACUUACUUGUGGUCAAAGUGGAUACAACCACAGAGUUACCACCUGAACCUGUCUCCAGUGGCCCACCCAAUAUGUUGAACUGAAACGUAGAGUGAAAAGCCGCCUGUGAGACUCGCCCCUUUUCAAAAGCGCGCUGGGAAAGGCGGAAGCAGAACACUACGCCGCUGGGCAGGUGAGCUACUGUUGACUCAUCACACUCGACAACCUGUCCUCCCUGCUGCUGUCUCUCCCUGUGCUGGUUAGGAAGGAAUUGUGCUC
Portunus trituberculatus (swimming crab) is the source of this 298-nucleotide long non-coding RNA. RefSeq lists it as uncharacterized. The record is from RefSeq and is a predicted model, not a curated record. The transcript has 3 exons. Lineage: Eukaryota; Metazoa; Arthropoda; Malacostraca; Decapoda; Portunidae.